This 1128-nucleotide long non-coding RNA is filed under the name Homo sapiens (human). RNAcentral describes it as "HSALNT0386654". The record is from RNAcentral. Lineage: Eukaryota; Metazoa; Chordata; Mammalia; Primates; Hominidae.
UUGAGGCCGGCCGCUUGGUGGCGCCUGUGGCCGCAGGGAUUUGACUGGGCCUUCUCUAGCUUUCCCCGGUUUGCUGCACUUGACGCUGCAGGGCGGGCGGGGUAAAGAAGGGAGCGAGCCCUUCUCAAGCUUGGAAAGUUUCCAGACUGCUGGGCCAGCCUCCUCCCCAGAGGGAAACUGAGGUCCGAUUGAGGUUUCUCCAAGACCGCCCACUCCUGCUCCUGUCCCCAAACCCCUUUCUGCCUAGGGUUCCUGGAAGCCAAGGAAACAGAACGAACUGUUCCCUGGGUGGGCGAGCCACUGCAGAGUACAAAGCUUUCAGGCCGCCUGCCUCAUUAGCACUAAUGGCUGCUCCCUUCCGCCCUGUGUCGUCAGGACUGUCUAUGCCUGGUCUCAUCAGCACAAGGCUGGGGGCAACUGUUUGAAAAUGCUGCAGAAACAUGAGAAAUGUUCAUGAAGUGACCCUGUGGAGGCUUCCGGUCACAGGAUCAUGUGAGCGCCACGAUCACCCCAGGGGUGGAGCAGAUGCUAAGUGUUCACCACACCCAAUUCUCUUCCUGGACACACAGGAAGAUGACAUUUCCAGUGACAUGCCCCACCUCUAGGCCCUAGUCUUUUUUUUAUUUAAAGGUCUGAGUCUUGUUCUGUCACCCAGGCUGGAGUGCAGUGCUGUGAUCAUGACUCACUGCAGCCUCAACCUCCUGUGCUCAAACAAUCCUCCCACCUCAGCCUCCCUAAUAGCUGAUGUCAUAUAGGCAUGAGCCAGUGUGCCUGGCUCAGGCCCUACCCUUAAAAGCAUCCCACCUGAUUCACCAGCCCCCUUCUCUCUCUCAGUAAACUUGGAAACCACGCAUUCCAGAUGGUAUAAUUUACAGCAUGAUGGAAAAAGCCAGCUCUCCAUGGGAAGCUGGCCAGUCUUCAUUGGAGUACAUUUUUAUUGCAUGAAGCCAAUGAGACUUGAUAUUGUUUAACUCUGUGGUUUCCAAAGUGCGGUCCUUUUGAAGUAUCCAUAAAGUCUACACUAGGUUCACGGUAAUAUUAAGAUGUUAUUUGUCAGCUGGGCACGGUGGCUCACGCCUAUAAUCUCAGCACUUUGGGAGGCCAAGGCAAAUGGAUAAUGAGGUCAGG